AACGCGAAGAACCUUACCUGGGUUUGACAUGGAUCGGGAGUGCUCAGAGAUGGGUGUGCCUCUUUUGGGGUCGGUUCACAGGUGGUGCAUGGCUGUCGUCAGCUCGUGUCGUGAGAUGUUGGGUUAAGUCCCGCAACGAGCGCAACCCUUGUUCACUGUUGCCAGCACGUUAUGGUGGGGACUCAGUGGAGACCGCCGGGGUCAACUCGGAGGAAGGUGGGGAUGACGUCAAGUCAUCAUGCCCCUUAUGUCCAGGGCUUCACGCAUGCUACAAUGGCUGGUACAGAGAGUGGCGAGCCUGUGAGGGUGAGCGAAUCUCGGAAAGCCGGUCUCAGUUCGGAUUGGGGUCUGCAACUCGACCUCAUGAAGUCGGAGUCGCUAGUAAUCGCAGAUCAGCACG
This 400-nucleotide ribosomal RNA is filed under the name uncultured Propionibacterium sp. RNAcentral's name for it is "bacterial SSU rRNA". It matches the Rfam family "Bacterial small subunit ribosomal RNA", at positions 958 to 1356 of the family's 1533-position model. The record is from RNAcentral. Lineage: Bacteria; Bacillati; Actinomycetota; Actinomycetes; Propionibacteriales; Propionibacteriaceae.